RNAcentral lists this ribosomal RNA (253 nucleotides) under uncultured bacterium. RNAcentral describes it as "partial 16S ribosomal RNA". It matches the Rfam family "Bacterial small subunit ribosomal RNA", at positions 524 to 776 of the family's 1533-position model. The record is from RNAcentral.
UACGUAGGGUGCAAGCGUUGUCCGGAAUUAUUGGGCGUAAAGAGCUCGUAGGCGGUCUGUCGCAUCGGCUGUGAAAUCCCGAGGCUCAACCUCGGGUCUGCAGUCGAUACGGGCAAACUGGAGUACUGCAGGGGAGACUGGAAUUCCUGGUGUAGCGGUGAAAUGCGCAGAUAUCAGGAGGAACACCGGUGGCGAAGGCGGGUCUCUGGGCAGUAACUGACGCUGAGGAGCGAAAGCGUGGGGAGCGAACAGG